CGUUGGGAAAGCUCGGGCCGCGCAGGAGCCCACGGCGGGCUGGGGAGGCUCAGGCACGGCGGGCUGCAGGUCCCGAGCUCUGCCCCGCGGGGAGGCAGCUAAGGCCCGGCGAGAAAUCGAGCACAGCAGCUGUCGGCCCAUGUGCUAAGCCCCUCACUCCCCGGGUCGGCGGGGCCCGCCGGCCACUCCGAGUGCGAGGCCCGCCGAGCCCACGCCUACCCGGAACUCGCGCUGGCCCGCAAGCGCCGCGCGCAGCCCCGAUUCCCGCCCGCGCCUCUCCCUCCACACCUCCCUGCAAGCUGAGGGAGCCGGCUCCGGCCUUGGCCAGCCCAGAAAGGGGCUCCUACAGUGCAGCGGCGGGCUGAAGAGCUCCUCAAGCACGGCCAGAGUGGGCGCUAAGGCCGAGGAGGCCCCGAGAGCGAGCGAGGGCUGUGAGCGCUGCCAGCAUGCUGUCACCUCUCAAUAGUAAGUUCUGGAAGCUGAGAAGUCCGAAAUCAAGGUACCAGCAGGGUCCGGUCUGCUGAGGGCUGCUCUCUGCUGUGCCCUCCAGAGAGAACAAAUGCUGUGUCCUCCAGGAGGAAGGGCUGCUGGAACCACAGGCAAUACAAAGAAUGAAAAUAGCAACUCGAAAACAAAUUCCACAGUUCUUUCCGUGAGUUUGCAAAAGUCUACACAUGGAGAAUGACCUUUCAUCUUAUUUCUCAUCUGCUGGUCCCAUCAACCCUAACUUUGUAUCUGCUAAAACUCAGGGAAGAGUGGCUUAUUUAAUUGGUGAAUUUUAGAGAAGAAAUUGAGAAUGUCUGCUACUUUUCAUCCCUCCUGAAACUACUACUAUUUUUAGAGGUGCCUAACAUGUUGACCUGCUCUUUGUCUUCUGAAUCUAAUUGGAAACCAUCUUGGAACACACAUGUUGUAUAAAAUGAGAUACCACUAUCUGCAUCUUGUGCCUUUUGUAACAAUAUAAUAAAAUUGUCAUAUAUUGAUUGCCGGAAUCAAUACCAGGACAUUUACAUACAUUUUCUGAUUUAACUUUUGUAAUAUGGGCAGUCAUUUUGAUUCUAUCGGUCAGGAAGUGGUGACUCAAGAAAGGAAGUAAUUUGCCUAAAAUUACAGGACUGGACCCAGACUUUCAGAUCCCAACAUCUUUAUACUUAAAAAAAAAUUCAUCUAUACUCUGUGUGUUCUAUUUUAGUAUAUGUUAUUAGAAAAUAACAGUAAUUCUCUCUCUCUCUCUCUCUGCCUCUGUGUGUGUGUGUGACACAGAGGAACUAAAUAGAAUGAUAGGAAUGCAGCAUCUGGCCACAUCUCAGGGAUGUUAAAUGAGAAUCUACAUUUUAACAAAAUGUCUAGUUAAUCCCUAUUUAUAUUAAAAUGAGAAACACUGAGUUAGAUAAGAUUACCCUUAUGUUACAGAUCAAAAUCCUCAGAAACAAAAAGUUUUCCAGCUCAGAUUGUGAAGAUCUUCUCAAGUUUUGUCAAGCAAUUGGGACAGUAAGUAUAGCAAAGGUAGAGGCGGGUAUUAAUGAUUACUAACUGUCUGCUUCAUUGAGCUCAUUGCAACAGUAGAUGGAGAAUACUGGAGAAGAGAAUAUAAUCAGCCCCCCAUACCCAUGGGUUCCACAUUCGUGGAUUCAAUCAACUUUGGAUCAAAAAUUUAAAAAAAAACAUGACAAUAAAAAACAACACAAAUCUUAAAAACAAUAAAGCUUAACAAUUAUUUACAUAGCAUUUAUAUUAGGUAUUGUAAGUAAUCUGG
RNAcentral lists this long non-coding RNA (1756 nucleotides) under Homo sapiens (human). RNAcentral describes it as "HSALNT0154731". The record is from RNAcentral. Lineage: Eukaryota; Metazoa; Chordata; Mammalia; Primates; Hominidae.